This 1362-nucleotide long non-coding RNA is filed under the name Olea europaea subsp. europaea. The record is from RNAcentral. Lineage: Eukaryota; Viridiplantae; Streptophyta; Magnoliopsida; Lamiales; Oleaceae.
AUAUGUUGAAUUAUGCAGUUGCUUAAUUUAUCUAUAAAUAUGCAUCUUCUCACUUGUAUAUUAUCACAAACACUUGAAAUUUAGAGUGCAUAGAGAUGGUUAAACUCAACAAGACUACUUUUCUUGCUCUCCUCUUCUGCUUCCUCAUUAUUGCAGCCUACGGUAGGUAGUUUUGCGCUCCAUGAGCAGAUAAUUCAAUUUCUAUUACUGGAAAACAUUGUCAUGUUCAGUACAUAGGACUGAACAAGAUUUGUUGAGAGAACCACUUCUUCUUUUAUAUAUAUAUAUAUAUAUAUAUAUAUAUAUAUAUAUAUAUAUAUAUAUAUAUAUAUAUAUAUAUAUAUAUAUAUGACUGAACAAGAUUUGUUGAGAGAACCACUUCUUUUAUAUAUAUAUAUAUCACAUUCAAUCAAGAUUUGUCGAAUGUAACAAUAUAUGUCCUCACUUUAUUCAUUAUUUUGCAAUGCACCAUGCAUAUGAUUAUCAUUAGAAAAUAACCGGAGACAGUUAAUUACCUUAUUCAUUAUUUUUCAUAGUUUUUCUUGACACCGUUCCACCCACGAAAAAAAUUAAAAUUCCUAUGAGUGAAUUUUUGCUUGUUUUUCAUUUUUCUUAACAUGAUAAGAACUUACAGAAUAUAUACAUUUGAGUAAGAUUAAUGCCUACCAUAAAAGAAGUGUUCUUAAAAAGUAAAAUAAAAUGACGUAAAUUUAUCGAAUAACUGAUACUAUUUAUCUUUCCUGAUCCAAUUUUUACGCAGAGAUGCGAUUGGGGGAGGCAAAACCUUGCACAAAACUUAGCAAAGGAUGGCGUGGGUUGUGUGCUCCUCAUAAAUGCAGCAGUUACUGUAUUCACCACGAGGGAGCUUACCAUGGUGCUUGUCUAAAAAAUCACCAUAGUAAGCAUUAUGGUUGCUACUGCUACUACCGUCAUUGCUAAUCAAUGAAUUUAUAUGUACUUGUUGGAGGUCAUGCCUUGUGCCCGUCUACAAUUUCGUACUGUGUUUAUGUUUCCAAUAAUAUUGCAAUCCUCGAGUGCUUUCGUUUAGAAAAGUAAAAGCUGCCUGUGUGAGCUCUUGCAGCUGGAGGUGUCACUUGUGUCCACUAGUUCGUGUUACUUUUGUUGUACUUGUAUUACCUAAAUAUUGAAGAUUGUAAGUUUCUUUUAGUCUGUUUAUUGAUCAAAAUAUUAAGUGAGGAUGUGUUAAAGAUAGGAUUUAAAUAAAUAGAUGUGUCCACUCAUUGAACAUAGAAUUUUAUAUGAAGUGGUUCAACAUGACAUUAGAGUAAGUAAAUUAAACAUAAAAUUGAUUUAGCUUAAAUCAUAAUUGGAAGCAAGACAAUUGUUGGUACUAAAACCUCA